UACGUAGGGUGCGAGCGUUAAUCGGAAUUACUGGGCGUAAAGCGUGCGCAGGCGGUUUCGCAAGUCAGACGUGAAAUCCCCGGGCUUAACCUGGGAAUGGCGUUUGAAACUACGGAGCUGGAGUGUGGCAGAGGGAGGUAGAAUUCCACGUGUAGCGGUGAAAUGCGUAGAUAUCAGGAGGAACACCGGUGGCGAAGGCGGCUAUCUGGACAGAGUCUGACGCUGAGGCGCGAAAGCUAGGGGAGCAAACAGG
This 253-nucleotide ribosomal RNA is filed under the name uncultured bacterium. Its description in RNAcentral is "partial 16S ribosomal RNA". It matches the Rfam family "Bacterial small subunit ribosomal RNA", at positions 524 to 776 of the family's 1533-position model. The record is from RNAcentral.